AAGAAGAAAAGAAGCAUUGAGAGGUUCCUCACGCAGGAGAGAUGGCGCCCAUGACUAUUCCGGUUUCUAGAGUCUGGAGAUAGGGAGGGUCAUUGGCUGCCAUCUCUCUGCGUCAGGAACCUUAUAUCUUUGCAGCCAUGUCCCUUUUAUGUUUACUUUUCCAAUUUCUACAAGAAAUUUAUACUAGUUGUUUUCGUUCACAGGGUUCAUGUUGUGCAGAUUUUGUGGACUAGGAAAUGGUCAAAAACGGCGGUCCCUAUGUUUUGUUCUUUGAUCCAUGUGGCUGCCUGUGCCAGAAGUUUACCAUUAUCAAGUUUACAUGUUCACACUUCGGUAAUGUUUCUUUUCACCUUAUGCUUUGGAUGCUUCCAUUUUAGCUACUGAACAAAUCACCGACACUUUUAGUGUAUGUAGUAAGAGAAGACAUCCGUUCUGCGGAUUCCUGAAACUUAAAAGGUACCUGCAUAAUCUAACCGGGACUCCAUUUUGGCUUUCUCAUGCAUAUCACUAUGCUGAGAACUAUUUUGUUCAGUAGAGUCAACGUCAAACCAAUGGCUGUAGCUCUUUCUUGUUUUCUUUCCGCAACUCGCAAGCCUACAGAUCAAUGCUCAUCCCUCGCGAGCCAACAUCUCUUAAAUUACCAAAAGAGAAAAGACAAGCUACAGUAUAUACUAGUACCGACACUCCUCCCCACUUUGAUGCGGGGCAGGUACAAGCGUGCCUGAAAUGUGUAAUUUUUUUUGGAACGAUAUGUAAAUUUCUUUUACCUCUUCAUAAUAGAAGAGGUGUGCAUGUGAGUUACAUAUGUAAUAAUUAUGCUUUUAUUGUUAAGUUUUAUAAGUAGUUCACGUAAAAUUAUACCUUAUUCAAAAAAUUAUUAUUCUGAAUGAUUGUUACUGACAAGCAUCCAAACCCGUAUGGCCGUAUCCCUCCCCACUUUGCCUGCACAGUAAAUUAUUUGAUUGUAGUAAUUCGUAUUACUUGAUCAGGUAUAUGCAUUUGCCAUUACUCUUAAGCUAUAUUUGCAAAACACUCAGCUGUAUUCACACACGUGUGGCCUUAUUAAUCACUUCUCUCUUAAAGUAAUUUUCUACCAUAUGAUCUCUUUCUUGGAUACAAGAAUGAUGUUGAGAAGAUGUACGUGUUCUCUCUUAAAAAUUGUAGUGCCUAUUUUUUGUUCUGUCUGCAACUUUGCAUGACUAGCUACUGAUUCCAUUAAAGUUGCGCUUAUGAUGCUGCUAAAUCUCAAUUUGUGAACGUAAUCCUUGAAACAAAGGUAUCGUUUUAUGUUUCUGGAAACUCAAAACCCAAGUUUAAACUGUUGACUGCUGGGUUCAAAUCCUCGCUCGGUCGCACGUUAAUUAUCGGUCCGAAAGACCAAUCCACCAACACCUUAGCAACACAACAAAUCUUUAGUGGUCCGCUUUCAAAAGCAAUAACUCAAUUAUUCUGCUGCAGUUACUACCGCCAUCACCACCGAAGAACCAUCUUCAUCAAAAACUAGAACCAUAAAAUUACUCAUUCAGGUUUAGUUAAUGGAUUGGGUUUGGGCAUCCAUUAUUGCUUCCAAGCCGUAGAGUCCGAAUUAAAGUAAACGUAUAAUGUUCAAUACUUACAAUUACAGAUUGAUUUGGAGUUUUGGUUCAGAAAAUUUUGAAAAUAUUUCUGGGCAUCCAUUUGCUAAAAUCUUUCUAAAUAGGAAUUGUUUGAGGAUGGUGACUUUUUUUUUUUGUCUGCAACGAUAGAUGUUAUAUAAGCCUAAUCUAGGGAAAAGGAAUAAGAGGAGAUGGUCAACUAAGAUCAGUCACAUAUUAUAAUAAAUUUGAGAGAGACGGGGUUGAACUCUGACCUCCGGCACCACCAAGGCGGCGGUGGUAACUGGCAAGUGAAAAAGGUGAUGAAAGAAGUUGACUUGGACUUGGGUAGAGAACAGACAACAGGAAUUCCAAAAAAAAAAAAAAAAA
Molecule: non-coding RNA, 1964 nt
Organism: Coffea arabica (coffee)
Lineage: Eukaryota; Viridiplantae; Streptophyta; Magnoliopsida; Gentianales; Rubiaceae
Source: RefSeq, a predicted model, not a curated record